CGUUGAGACGAGCACAUCGAGAGCUGCCGCGUUAUUUUCUAGAUUAUUCUGUGCCAAUUUUUAAUACUGCGUUUCGACUUCGCGACAAUUGAGGCAAAUUAAGACGCGUACUCUUCACGCGAACAGAUGUUGCGGACUUUACCAUGACAGAGAUCCAAUAGAGCAGACGCAGUCACGCAGCUCUAGGGGAUGUGAUGCCUGGGAUAUGCCGCGCUGGAGGCCUCGAGCCUUUCUGAGUCGAAAAGACGAACCAGCCAACUCUUAGGAGCUGCUGCGCCAGAGGAUUUGGCUCGGGCCGAGCGGGGUUAGCUCGAAGAAAGGAAAGCAGAAUGUGGCUAUCCUGAUCGGCGGUUUGG
Long non-coding RNA from Odontomachus brunneus, 356 nucleotides. RefSeq lists it as uncharacterized. The transcript has 4 exons. NCBI's taxonomy places the organism in Eukaryota, Metazoa, Arthropoda, Insecta, Hymenoptera, Formicidae. The record is from RefSeq and is a predicted model, not a curated record.